This 108-nucleotide transfer RNA is filed under the name Sporisorium reilianum SRZ2. Its description in RNAcentral is "tRNA-Ile for anticodon AAU". It matches the Rfam family "tRNA". From Rfam's summary of the family: Transfer RNA (tRNA) molecules are approximately 80 nucleotides in length. The record is from RNAcentral. Lineage: Eukaryota; Fungi; Basidiomycota; Ustilaginomycetes; Ustilaginales; Ustilaginaceae.
GCCUCGUUAGCGUAGUUGGAUUAUCGCAUCUGUCUAAUACACGAUGCCUCAGAUCAGCUCUGAGUUUGUUAUAACAGAAGGUCACUGGUUCGAGCCCAGUACGGGGCA